RNAcentral lists this ribosomal RNA (301 nucleotides) under uncultured bacterium. RNAcentral's name for it is "partial 16S ribosomal RNA". It matches the Rfam family "Bacterial small subunit ribosomal RNA", at positions 509 to 807 of the family's 1533-position model. The record is from RNAcentral.
CAGCCGCCACGGUAAUACGUAGGUGGCAAGCGUUGUCCGGAAUUAAUGGGCGUAAAGGGCUCGCAGGCGGUUUCUUAAGUCUGAUGUGAAAGCCCCCGGCUCAACCGGGGAGGGUCAUUGGAAACUGGGAAACUUGAGUGCAGAAGAGGAGAGUGGAAUUCCACGUGUAGCGGUGAAAUGCGUAGAGAUGUGGAGGAACACCAGUGGCGAAGGCGACUCUCUGGUCUGUAACUGACGCUGAGGAGCGAAAGCGUGGGGAGCGAACAGGAUUAGAUACCCCCGUAGUCCCUGUCUCUUAUAC